AGAAAAUGUAUUGGAUCUUCAAAUGGGGUACUGACUAACAUGUCAACUAUGGCUUGUCAAAUCCCUAACAUAUUGAUUUUAUAUUUAACACAAAACACCCACUUGGUCCAUUCCACACUUCCAUGAUGCCUGGUACAAAAAACAUUGCAGAAAAAAAGAAACCAAAUUUAGCAAAACAUCCAUCCACCUGCAGAAGAUAACUCACACUAGGAACAGCAUAGACAACAUUUCAUACAAUGAUAAAAUUAUUCUGUAUCCAGAAGGAAUGGCUCAAGCAUCCCCAUGGCCAAUCAAGGCAAGUAGCAUUUUCUCAUAGUCUCCAGAAGUGUCUCCAGAAAUGGCACGAUCCAGAGGAACGCUGUUUCGGCGAUGGUAUUCCUCUUUAAUACGUUGCAUAUCCACCUCUGCCCUGGUGGUAACAACUCUAGUAAGAGCCCAUUCGUCCGUCCCCAGCUUGUUGAUGGCCAGACGCAGAACAUUCUCAAAGUAUUUCUCAGGACAGGUCAAACACUUGAUUGUUGCUCUCAGUAAUUUGAGGAACUCGUCUUUAGGGUCAACCUUCAAAUUCUUGUUGAUGGCAUUCCCAAAUGUGUUGUUGUAGUGAUUUAGUGUUGCAUUAAGUUGUGCCUUGCUCCUAGUAGACAGGAUCCUGAUGAUCUCAUCAUCAUUAUAAGCUUUGUUUGAGAUCUUCUCAUGAAGUAUCUUAGCCUCUGAUUUUGCCAAUGUCAAGUUCACCUCUUGUCCCUCAUAUCGGAAUGCACUCACAAGAGGAACCAACAGCUUGCGGAAGUCUCCAGUUGUAUGAUAUGCAACAUCUUCCUCAAUGGAUCUCUUAUAACGAGCAUGAUAUGCCUGUCUCACCUUAAAUAGCUCAACAGAAGACCUAGUGCAAGCUAUUUCCAUGAGAACCCAAUUGCUUGAAGUGAACUUCUUUGUGGCUUCAUUAGCCAAAUACGCAUCACGCUCAGCAGGAUCCAGAGUCCAUAACAAUACAGACCUCUCAAAGUCACUGGAAAGUUCUUUGUCCAGAGCUUUAAGGAGAUCUUCCCCAUAAGCUUCAGCAUAAGUCUGUCGAAUUAAGUUGCGCUGAGGAGCAUUCCUGUGAGCCAAAAUGGAGAUAAUCAAAGACUCAUUUGUACCCCAUCCUGCAAAACAUGAUCAGAACAUCUUAGAAUCAGUCUGUUCAAUACAGAGGAGCUAAAUGUCACAGAAAAGUUUUUUUUAUUCUUCUUUUGAAGAAUAAACCAAUCACCAUCCCAAAUUAAGACAUCAAUUAACAGAUCAAUUCAUAAAGAUCAUGCUAUUUCACUGAAAACCAGAUAUCUAACAAUGAAUUGAUUUAACAUACACACAGACAAUUGGAUGAUCAUAUUUCAAAACAACUGUAAAAAUGCUAGUUAACAACAACUAUGCCUAUUGACUAUAUGGAUACUUUUUCUUCAUUCAACUCUGAUUGAGACCAGUUCUGCAUCAACAUUCAACCCUCCAUGUUAUUCUAUAAUACUUCUUGUUCUGGGUCAAAGCCAAUAAGCCAUAUAAUAAACAGUAAGCCUAAAGUAAAUGUUUUGCAAUUGGAUCUAUCGGUUCCAAACAGAUUAAAAUUGCCAUCCAAACAGGAAAAUUAAAAAAGACCGAUCACAGCAUGAAAUGUAGCCAUUUCCUUUUUUUAAUUAAUUGGCAAAAAAGAAAUGAAAGAGAAAGGAAAGGAAAGAAAGGCGGAAUAGGAAAGUGAUAUUUCUCAAAAACCAAACUCAAAUCAAAACCCAACAAUGCAGAUAAGCAUACAGAGAUCUAACAGUAAACAGAACAGGUACAAGGUUAUCUAAAUAAUCAUAGACUGCACUUGAUCUAUCGCAGAAUUAUGCAUUCAGCACUAAAAGAAAUUAGAUGAUAUGGAUAUUGGAGGAAAAAAAAAAGAAGCAAAACAUUGAAGACACAGAAGACCUUGGAAAGCUUUGUGGAGCUGCUCAGCAUCCUCAGAUGGAGGUGGAACAUGGGCAGGAACUUUAAGGGUCGCCAUUGUCUUCGACGAGUUUGCUAAGAAUCGAAAACGAUGAACUAAUCUUGCUUGGUCUGCCUGAAUCUUAUCGUUUCA
This 2095-nucleotide unclassified non-coding RNA is filed under the name Hevea brasiliensis (rubber tree). The record is from RNAcentral. Lineage: Eukaryota; Viridiplantae; Streptophyta; Magnoliopsida; Malpighiales; Euphorbiaceae.